UGUGAGCAAAGUGAAAGCCUGAUGGAGGGUCAGGAUAAGGAUGGGCUUGGGACGCGCUGAGCCUCCAGAGCUCCAAGGUUGGUGGAGUCACGCCCUAGGCACCGCAGCCAGGACUACACUUCCCAGAAGCCCAAUCUCGCGCGAUCUUGGGCAGUUCUACGGGUGCUGGCGGGAGAGUCCCGGUUAGAGAAAUACUUGGGCGUCCUGUUGCUGUCAGUCCCUCCUCCUCGACUUUCCAAGAGAAGGUUGGCUCACACCACCUAUGACGCAAGCCUCAGUGCUCCUGAACUCUUCGACUUGUGUCUCCCUGAAAAUCAGUUUGCAUUGGAGCCCAUCCUUCGAGGCUGGGCCAGGUGCAAGGCAGCGAGAGGGCUCUGGACCAUGUGUGCACGGGAGGUACCGCUCACCAGCCUCCUGCUCUCUGUCUUAGCACACAGUAGAAGAAAUUUGGCUUACCUCGAUGAAAGAGAGCUAUCAAAUACACAGAGAAGACAGCCUGAGUGAUCUUGUCCUAAGGGUGUCUACCUGAUGGAUGUUGGGUCCUUACAGCAGGGAGAAGAUGCACUCAUCUUUGUAUUUCUAGCACCUAUCACAGGACUGGAAAAGCUGGCCAUCAGAUAAAUUAGGCUUUCUGCCCAGUGUGGAGCUCAACCUGGGGCUUGAGCUCACGACCCUGAGAUCAAGACCUGAGCUGAGAUCAAGAGUCAGAUGCUUAACCGACUGAGCCACCCAGGGUCACCAUGAAUGAUAUGAAGGUGGAUCAAAAACAUUUGAGAAAAUCUUACAAUUCCACGUAUAAAAUGGAACCACUUAAAAGAGGCACAUUUUAUUGAUUAUUUUCCUAGUGAUGUAACAAUGAUACAGGUUUCCUUUGGCAAAAAUAAAUAAAGAAACAAACAAUCGGCACAUUGAAUGAAGCGCAAAUUAAUUCUGUGCUGACAAAUUCGUCAUUCUAGUUCCUAGUUUCAAAAUUGCUUUAUGAAAUAUGUGAGGAAUAAAUGUUGCUGUAAGAAGUCAAUGUUUCUCUGUGUUUAUUGUCCUAGAGAAAUUUAGGUAGGCAUUUUAUAAUUAUUUUAAUAAAAAUCCAGGGAUAUUUUUAAAAAUUAUAGUGAUACGAUAAUUUAUAGGUGUAUUUAAAAACAAGUGCAUAUGCUCAAACUUCUCAUAAAGAUCAAAAUAAGAUUCAGAGAAUGUAUAUGAGAAUUGUCUCUGGCUAAGGAAUCUGAUUAUUUUACUUGAGCUGUGAUACUUCUGGCCUAAAAUAUGUUUUAAGACAAUGUACAAAAUAUAUUAGGAAGAAGGAAAACUUUAAAAAUAUAUAGAUUUAUAUAUGUCUGCUUUACAAACAAAAAUGAAGACAUUGCUAAUAUUUUAGCCUGUGUAAAAUAAGUUGUAAUGUAACUUUUCUACUGAACACACAAAAUUUGUUUCUCACUUCAACACAUUUAAUCUAUAUAUAAAUUGAAGUAACUUUCUGUCUCUAUAAACAAAACCUAACUAAUGAACUAAAUAAAUAAGUAAAAUAAUGGGUACUUAAUAAUUUGGCACUUUUAUUUACUUAUUGUUGCUGGAAAGUCUAUUGUUGUUAUUGCAAUCAUACAUACAUAUCUCAGCAAUCUGGAUAAUAAUUACCUAGGCUAUCAUCAAAUUAUUUUGGGAAAUACUUGUAAUGUUCUCAGAAAAAGUAGUAUGUCAAUUUACAGUAUCAAUAAAGAGGCAGGCCUUUUAUUUAUUUUUUUCUUGUCUUUUUUUUUUAAUUUAAAUCGAAGUUAGUUAACAUACAGUGUAGUAAUGGUUUUAGGAGUAGAAUUUGUGAUUCAUCAUUUACAUAUAACACCUAGUGUUCAUCUCAAGAAGUGCCCUCCUUAAUGUCCAUCAUACAUUUAGCCCAUUAGCCCACACAUCUCCCCUCCAGCAACCCUCAGUUUGUUCUCUGUAUUUAAAGGUCUUUUAUGGUUUGCCUCCCUCUUUGUUUGAAUCCUAUUUGUGCUUCCCAUCCCCUAUGUUAAUUUGUUGUGUUUCUUAAAUUCCACAUGUGAGUGAAAUCAUAUAAUAUUUGUCUUUUUCUGACUGACUUAUUUCACUUAGCAUAAUACACGGUAGUUCAACUGACACUGUCGCAAAUGGCAAGAUUUCAUUCUUUUUGAUUGCCGAGUAAUAUU
Molecule: long non-coding RNA, 2162 nt
Organism: Acinonyx jubatus (cheetah)
Lineage: Eukaryota; Metazoa; Chordata; Mammalia; Carnivora; Felidae
Exons: 5
Source: RefSeq, a predicted model, not a curated record